This 253-nucleotide ribosomal RNA is filed under the name uncultured bacterium. RNAcentral's name for it is "partial 16S ribosomal RNA". It matches the Rfam family "Bacterial small subunit ribosomal RNA", at positions 524 to 776 of the family's 1533-position model. The record is from RNAcentral.
UACAGAGGUCCCGAGCGUUGUUCGGAUUCAUUGGGCGUAAAGGGUGCGUAGGUGGCGCCGUAAGUGGGGUGUGAAAUCCCGGGGCUUAACCCCGGGACUGCAUUCCAUACUGCGGUGCUUGAGGACUGGAGAGGAGACUGGAAUUUACGGUGUAGCAGUGAAAUGCGUAGAGAUCGUAAGGAAGACCAGUGGCGAAGGCGGGUCUCUGGACAGUUACUGACGCUGAGGCACGAAGGCCAGGGGAGCAAACGGG